AGAAUCAACGCUGGCGGCGUGCCCAACACAUGCAAGUCGAGCGCGAAUAGGGGGUAACUCCCUUAGUAGAGCGGCGAACGGGUGAGUAACGCGUGGGUAAUCUACCUUCGAGUGGGGAAUAACAGCGGGAAACUGCUGCUAAUACCGCAUGACAUCGUCGGGUCGAUGGAUCUGACGAUCAAAGCCGGGGACCGCAAGGCCUGGCGCUUGAAGAGGAGCCCGCGUCCGAUUAGCUAGUUGGCGGGGUAACGGCCCACCAAGGCGACGAUCGGUA
This 274-nucleotide ribosomal RNA is filed under the name uncultured bacterium. Its description in RNAcentral is "partial small subunit ribosomal RNA". It matches the Rfam family "Bacterial small subunit ribosomal RNA", at positions 26 to 285 of the family's 1533-position model. The record is from RNAcentral.